GAGUAUCAUGCCCUUCGGGGUAGAUCUCCACCCUUGAAUAACAUACCUUUGUUGCUUUGGCAGGACGCACUCGUGCCAGGGGCUUCGGCUCUUGAGUGCCUGCCAGAGGGCCCCAACUCGUGGAUAGUUUAUGUUUGUCUGAGUACGAUAUAAUCGUUUACAACUUUUAACAAUGGAUCUCUUGGCUCU
RNAcentral lists this unclassified non-coding RNA (189 nucleotides) under rhizosphere metagenome. RNAcentral's name for it is "partial ribosomal RNA internal transcribed spacer region". The record is from RNAcentral.